This is a non-coding RNA of Homarus americanus (American lobster), 1340 nucleotides long. The record is from the annotation of a RefSeq genome assembly. Lineage: Eukaryota; Metazoa; Arthropoda; Malacostraca; Decapoda; Nephropidae.
GUAUUAUAAAUCUUUGCUAUUGUUAUUUAGUGUUAAAAUAUAAAUGAGAAAAAUAUUUUUAUAUAAAAAAAGUAAGUAGAAAUCUAAAAUUUUGAAUCGAAAACUGAGAUGAAGGCUAGAGUUAAAAGUAUUGUAAAAGAAUAGUGAAAUAAAUGAAAAUUUAAUAAUAAGAAAGCAAAAGUAAAUUUUUGUACCUUGUGUAUCAGGGAAAAUUAAAAUUUUAAAAGUAGUUUUUUGAUCCCGAAAAAGGAAGAGCUAAAUUGAUAAAAAGGUUAUUGUGGCAUAAAUAUCUUUAAUAUUAAUUUAGUGGUGAAAUGUUAAACGAUUCCUUUGAUAUCUGGUUUUUAGAGAAAUGAAUUUAAUUCAGUUUUAAUAUUUAAAGAAAGUUAAAUGUAAGAAUAGGAGGGUUGAGCUUCUUAUUCAAAAUAUAAAAAAGUAUAGAAGAAAUUUAUUUAAUAGUUGAAUUAGGCUUAGAAGUAGCCAUAUGAAUAAAGUGUUUUAACUAAUUUUUGAGUUAAAGUUAUUUAUAUUCUUCUUGUAUUUGUAUCUAAAAAUGUUGAUAAUCUUUGUAUUUAUAGAUAAAAUGAUUUUAUUAGUAGAAAAUUUUGUAAAUAGUAAAAUAUUAAAAAAUUAACAAAUUUUAAAUAUUGAUUGGUGUGGGUUAAGGAACUCGGCAAAUAAAGCUUCUGCCUGUUUAUCAAAAACAUGUCUAUAUGAUGGUUUAUAAAGUCUAACCUGCCCACUGGGAUCAAACUAAAGGGCCGCGGUAUUUUAACCGUGCGAAGGUAGCAUAGUCAUUAGUCUCUUAAUUGGAGGCUUGUAUGAAUGGUUGGACAAGAAGCAAACUGUCUCAAACACAAAAAUUGAAUUUGACUUUUAAGUGAAAAGGCUUAAAUAUUUUAAAGGGACGAUAAGACCCUAUAAAGCUUAAUAAUUUAGUAUAUAAUUAGAUGAGUUGAAAGUUUAAUAUUAUUUAUAUACUAAAUUAUUUCGUUGGGGCGACGAUGAUAUAAUUUGUAACUGUUUAAAUUUAAAAUACAGAGAUAUUUGUGUGUAAUGAUCCUUGUUGUUGAUUAAAAAUUUAAGUUACUUUAGGGAUAACAGCGUUAUUUAUUUUGAGAGUUCAUAUCGACAAAAAAGUUUGCGACCUCGAUGUUGAAUUAAAAAUUCGCCAUGGCGUAGGAGUUGUGGAGGUAGGUCUGUUCGACCUUUAAAUUUUUACAUGAUUUGAGUUCAAACCGGCGUGAGCCAGGUUGGUUUCUAUCUUUUAAGAAAAUAAAAAUUACUUUAGUACGAAAGGAUUUAGUAAUUAAAAUAAUUUUUAAGUAUAGAUUAACUAU